GUGUUUGCUUUGGCAGCACAUAUACUAAAAUUGGAAUGAUACAGAGAAGAUUAGCGGGGCCCCUGUGCGAGGAUAACACACAAAUUCAUGAAGUAUUCCAUUUUUCU
Small nuclear RNA from Otolemur garnettii (small-eared galago), 107 nucleotides. Lineage: Eukaryota; Metazoa; Chordata; Mammalia; Primates; Galagidae. The record is from Ensembl.